RNAcentral lists this ribosomal RNA (322 nucleotides) under uncultured eukaryote. RNAcentral describes it as "partial 18S ribosomal RNA". It matches the Rfam family "Eukaryotic small subunit ribosomal RNA", at positions 1470 to 1796 of the family's 1831-position model. The record is from RNAcentral.
CCCUUAGAUGUUCUGGGCCGCACGCGUGCUACACUGAGUGGAUCAGCGGGUCAGGUUGCGCGAAAGUGUUUCCUAAUCUUUAAAUCCGCUCGUGAUGGGGAUUGACGGUUGCAAUUUUACGUCAUGAACGAGGAAUACCUUGUAAGCGCGGGUCAUCAUCCCGCGCUGAAUACGUCCCUGCCCUUUGUACACACCGCCCGUCGCUCCUACCGAUUGAGUGGUCCGGUGAGGCUUUGGGAUCUGAGCGGAAAGAGCGUUUCGCUGUUUCUGCCCGGAAAACUCAGUCGAACCUUAUCAUUUAGAGGAAGGAGAAGUCGUAACA